Molecule: non-coding RNA, 992 nt
Organism: Podarcis muralis (Common wall lizard)
Lineage: Eukaryota; Metazoa; Chordata; Lepidosauria; Squamata; Lacertidae
Source: RefSeq, a predicted model, not a curated record
UUUGCAAAGAGGCUGAAUCAGCUGCAAUACCCCCACACUUGAACCACUGCUUCCCUGCCUGCUCUCUCUCCACCCCCAACCCCAGUUCCAUGGUUAUUGCAUUGCAUUGCACACACACCCCAAAGCUUGCUGCACCCCAAGGCGCUUUGCACUCAGCGGAUUCCUUGCAGGACAAGGGCAGUGCAGGACAGCAGAGAGGGCGGGUCAGCUGUUCCACUUAAGCCGGGCCCCCUUUCCCAGGUCAGUAUGGAACAGCCCCACCUUCUCUUUCUCUCUCUCUAUGGCAGCUUGCACUCUCUGGCUUUAACCCUUAAGGCAACGAGCAUCUGUUCCCUAUAUUCGAAGCCCAGGUUCCCUCCCUUCCCUCCCCAUUGGCUGGGUCCUGCAAUUAUCCCGCCCCCGGAAAUAUCCUGCCUCCCUGGCGGGGGCUCCCAUUCCCGCCCCCGCUGCUCAGGGUCGCUGCCACCAUCGCCAGGAUUUCGGGAAGCUACAACUUGCCUUGGCUUAUUUGCUUCUCAAGAUGUUGAACCUGCAAACCUGGUCAGGAUGGACAGAGGAAUAUGGACAGCUGACCUGCUCAAGCUGUCUCCCGCAUCCCUCCCUGCAACCUCUGAUCAUCCCCUCCCAGGGCCCUCGGAGAAAUCUGUUGAGUUCCAGGGGAGAGGAGAUGGGGACAUGGAUGGCUGGAUGGUGGAGGGAGAAAGAGGAAAAGAUGGAGAGGAGACCAAAGGCAGGAAGGGCCAGGCAGGAAGAAAGGAAGGAGGGAGGGAGGGGUGAGGCCUUUUUCAAAGCAGCUCUUUGUUUUUGGAAUCCCUUUCAUAAAGUAGUGGGGGCAGAUUUUCUUUCUCUGUGCUUUUAAAUCUCUGGUGUUAUUUCCACUGCAGGAUUAAGUGACGAAAAUGAUGUUGCACACCAAUCCAGGAAAAUGGGUGAAGGGGGCUAUGGUGAGGAAGACGAUGGUCAGAAUUCUACGGAGCCAUCUGUGAAUUCAU